UACGAAGGGGGCUAGCGUUGCUCGGAGUCACUGGGCGUAAAGGGUGCGUAGGCGGGUCUUUAAGUCAGGGGUGAAAUCCCGGAGCUCAACUCCAGAACUGCCUUUGAUACUGAAGAUCUUGAGUUCGGGAGAGGUGAGUGGAACUGCGAGUGUAGAGGUGAAAUUCGUAGAUAUUCGCAAGAACACCAGUGGCGAAGGCGGCUCACUGGCCCGAUACUGACGCUGAGGUGCGAAAGCGUGGGGAGCAAACAGG
RNAcentral lists this ribosomal RNA (253 nucleotides) under uncultured bacterium. RNAcentral describes it as "partial 16S ribosomal RNA". It matches the Rfam family "Bacterial small subunit ribosomal RNA", at positions 524 to 776 of the family's 1533-position model. The record is from RNAcentral.